This is a long non-coding RNA of Oncorhynchus gorbuscha (pink salmon), 829 nucleotides long. RefSeq lists it as uncharacterized. NCBI's taxonomy places the organism in Eukaryota, Metazoa, Chordata, Actinopteri, Salmoniformes, Salmonidae. The transcript is spliced from 3 exons. The record is from RefSeq and is a predicted model, not a curated record.
UGGAGCAGCAGCAGCUGACUUGAUCCUUGAUGCUAAUCAGCAUGUUUUGAAUCUGAGAGUAAAUGGAUCUGACUACAACUCUAAAAAUACAGGGUUCAACUGGAGUUGUUCUGAGAUCCCCUAAGAACCAUAGGGUUCUUGGUCAAUGAAAAACAGCCCCAAAAGGUUCUUCAAAGAACAUGUUAGAAGGUGGGUUCAUCGAGGAACCUCCGUUGUUGCUGGACUUCUUCCGGAAACUUCGCAAUUACAACUGAAAACGAUGGUGACAAGUUUGGAUGCGACAACAGUUAAAAGAUCUUCUCAGAAAUGAAUCAAGUCCAUGGAAUGGAUAUUGACAAAACGAUAAUUCAAGAACUAGCAGAGGUAGAGAGGCAGGGGUGAGGACAUCAUCCUGCUAUUUUGACAGUCCCUGAAGGACAAUACAGAAGAGAUUUCACCGCUCUUCACUCCUUUACUGCACAUCGGCGGAAAACCAUUUCACCAUGAGAGUGAAAUCCCGCUGGCCUUUGACGGGAGAACAUCCACGACCUCGAGGACGUCUCCAUGGGACUUGGGGCUCUGCUAGAGCUGUAUUUUUUAUUUCCCCUUAAAUUUCCCAAAAAUGUCAGAAAAACACUUAUGUUGUUAAGUUACUGUGUUCUGGGGAUAAAAGAAGUUGGGUGAAGUUACCAGGGCUGGUCAUAAAGAUGGCAAACUUCCUAACAUAACUAAGUGAAUAUGAUAUACACACUAAAGCUGAAAAAUCUGUAUUUAGCAUCAAGUCUACAAUGUUAUUAGUUUACCGAUGAUUCAUUUUUAAUGUAUUUUGUUUUUAUUGUACAUCAUUAUU